RNAcentral lists this ribosomal RNA (263 nucleotides) under uncultured archaeon. RNAcentral describes it as "partial 16S ribosomal RNA". It matches the Rfam family "Archaeal small subunit ribosomal RNA", at positions 717 to 982 of the family's 1478-position model. The record is from RNAcentral.
AGUCACUGACAUUAGAUACCCGUGUAGUCCAGGGUGUAAACGCUGCAGACUUGGUGUUGGGGCCCUUUGGGGGCAUUCAGUGCCGGAGAGAAGUUGUUAAGUCUGCUACUUGGGAGUACGUCCGCAAGGAUGAAACUUAAAGGAAUUGGCGGGGGAGCACCGCAACGGGAGGAGCGUGCGGUUUAAUUGGAUUCAACACCGUAAAACUCACCAGGGAAGACUGUUACAUGAAAGCCGAGAUGAAGACUCUGCUAGAUUUUCAG